This 325-nucleotide ribosomal RNA is filed under the name uncultured bacterium. RNAcentral describes it as "bacterial SSU rRNA". It matches the Rfam family "Bacterial small subunit ribosomal RNA", at positions 28 to 334 of the family's 1533-position model. The record is from RNAcentral.
GAUGAACGCUGGCGGCGUGCUUAACACAUGCAAGUCGAACGGAACUACUCCGAUGAGAAUCUUCGGAAAGGAUUUGGUUUAGUUUAGUGGCGGACGGGUGAGUAACGCGUGGGUAACCUGCCCUAUACAGGGGGAUAACAGUUGGAAACGGCUGUUAAUACCGCAUAAGCGCACAGGAGCGCAUGCUCCGGUGUGAAAAACUCCGGUGGUAUAGGAUGGAUCCGCGUCUGAUUAGCUGGUUGGCGGGGUAACGGCCCACCAAGGCAACGAUCAGUAGCCGGCCUGAGAGGGUGAACGGCCACAUUGGGACUGAGACACGGCCCAA